UCAAACUUGGUCAUUUAGAGGAAGUAAAAGUCGUAACAAGGUCUCCGUUGGUGAACCAGCGGAGGGAUCAUUAUAGAGUUUUUUUACAACUCCCAACCCUUUGUGAACUUACCAUAUUGUUGCCUCGGCAGUGCCGCAGCUUCUCUCGAAGUUGCCUGUGUAGUGCCUGCCGAAGGUCCCAAUUUAAAAACUCGUUUUUAUUAGAAAAUUCUGAAUUUUAAAACUAAAUAAGUUAAAACUUUCAACAACGGAUCUCUUGGUUCUGGCAUCGAUGAAGAACGCAGC
RNAcentral lists this unclassified non-coding RNA (285 nucleotides) under uncultured fungus. RNAcentral describes it as "partial contains small subunit ribosomal RNA, internal transcribed spacer 1, and 5.8S ribosomal RNA". The stretch from base 1 to 73 matches the Rfam family "Eukaryotic small subunit ribosomal RNA", at positions 1759 to 1831 of the family's 1831-position model. Lineage: Eukaryota; Fungi. The record is from RNAcentral.